GAGUUUGAUCCUGGCUCAGGACGAACGCUGGCGGCGCGCCUAACACAUGCAAGUCGAACGGAGCUUAGAGAGCUUGCUUUUCUUGACUUAGUGGCGAACGGGUGAGUAACGCGUGAGUAACCUGCCCUGGAGUGGGGGACAACAGUUGGAAACGACUGCUAAUACCGCAUAAGCCCACGAUCCGGCAUCGGAUUGAGGGAAAAGGAUUUAUUCGCUUCAGGAUGGACUCGCGUCCAAUUAGCUAGUUGGUGAGGUAACGGCCCACCAAGGCGACGAUUGGUAGCCGGACUGAGAGGUUGAACGGCCACAUUGGAACUGAGACACGGUCCAAACUCCUACGGGAGGCAGCAGUGGGGAAUAUUGCACAAUGGGGGAAACCCUGAUGCAGCAACGCCGCGUGAGUGAAGAAGUAUUUCGGUAUGUAAAGCUCUAUCAGCAGGGAAGAUAAUGACGGUACCUGACUAAGAAGCUCCGGCUAAAUACGUGCCAGCCGCCGCGGUAAUUC
RNAcentral lists this ribosomal RNA (505 nucleotides) under uncultured bacterium. Its description in RNAcentral is "bacterial SSU rRNA". It matches the Rfam family "Bacterial small subunit ribosomal RNA", at positions 9 to 526 of the family's 1533-position model. The record is from RNAcentral.